Long non-coding RNA from Panthera uncia (snow leopard), 441 nucleotides. RefSeq lists it as uncharacterized. The record is from RefSeq and is a predicted model, not a curated record. Lineage: Eukaryota; Metazoa; Chordata; Mammalia; Carnivora; Felidae. The transcript is spliced from 3 exons.
AGGAAGAGAGUGCAGAAGUUAAGGGCCCAGGAUCGGGGCCAAAUGGCAUGUCUGAGACAAGAACCCAAGUGUCCUGAGGAAACGUGGACGCAGACAGAACCGGCUCUUGGUGACCAGAGACAGUCGAAGGUGAAAAGCUGAAUUUGAAGCAGUCCAACAGAGACACAGCUCUUUUCAAUGAAACAUACCUAUCCCUUCCUGUUGGGGCCCCGCCCGAUGCCUGUUCUGUCACCUCUCAACGGCUCUCAUCUAGAAGAACCUCAUAUUUCUCACCAAAGCCACAGCGUAAGGAGUCACUUUAGAGCCCUUCAGUACAUCUGGGAAGAUUAGAGCCUAUAAAAAAAAAAAAAAAAGGCUUGGGCACAAGCAAUUUAAAGCUCAAAGCUCUAAUCUGGAAUUGGUAUAUUUAUCCUGCUCUUCAAUUAUUAAUGUUGCUUUAUU